Molecule: ribosomal RNA, 478 nt
Filed under: uncultured bacterium
Lineage: Bacteria
Description: partial 16S ribosomal RNA
Rfam family: Bacterial small subunit ribosomal RNA
Source: RNAcentral
GACGAACGCUGGCGGCGUGCUUAACACAUGCAAGUCGAACGGUAAGGCCCUUCGGGGUACACGAGUGGCGAACGGGUGAGUAACACGUGGGUGAUCUGCCCUGCACUUCGGGAUAAGCCUGGGAAACUGGGUCUAAUACCGGAUAGGACUCCUGCCUGCAUGGGUGGGGGUGGAAAGCUUUGGCGGUGUGGGAUGGGCCCGCGGCCUAUCAGCUUGUUGGUGGGGUGAUGGCCUACCAAGGCGACGACGGGUAGCCGGCCUGAGAGGGUGACCGGCCACACUGGGACUGAGAUACGGCCCAGACCCCUACGGGAGGCAGCAGUGGGGAAUAUUGCACAAUGGGCGCAAGCCUGAUGCAGCGACGCCGCGUGAGGGAUGACGGCCUUCGGGUUGUAAACCUCUUUCAGCACAGACGAAGCGCAAGUGACGGUAUGUGCAGAAGAAGGACCGGCCAACUACGUGCCAGCCGCCGCGGUAA